Molecule: ribosomal RNA, 492 nt
Filed under: marine sediment bacterium ISA-1224
Lineage: Bacteria
Description: bacterial SSU rRNA
Rfam family: Bacterial small subunit ribosomal RNA
Source: RNAcentral
UGGCGGCAGGCCUAACACAUGCAAGUCGAGCGGUAACAUUUCUAGCUUGCUAGAAGAUGACGAGCGGCGGACGGGUGAGUAACGCGUGGGAAUCUGCCUGGUAGUGGGGGACAACAGUCGGAAACGACUGCUAAUACCGCAUACGCCCUUCGGGGGAAAGUGGGGGAUCUUCGGACCUCACGCUAUCAGAUGAGCCCGCGUCGGAUUAGCUUGUUGGUGAGGUAAAGGCUCACCAAGGCGAUGAUCCGUAGCUGGUCUGAGAGGAUGAUCAGCCACACUGGGACUGAGACACGGCCCAGACUCCUACGGGAGGCAGCAGUGGGGAAUAUUGGACAAUGGGGGCAACCCUGAUCCAGCCAUGCCGCGUGUGUGAAGAAGGCCUUCGGGUUGUAAAGCACUUUCAGCAGUGAGGAAAGGUGAGUCGUUAAUACCGGCUUACUGUGACGUUAACUGCAGAAGAAGCACCGGCUAACUCCGUGCCAGCAGCCGCGG